Molecule: long non-coding RNA, 2091 nt
Organism: Pecten maximus
Lineage: Eukaryota; Metazoa; Mollusca; Bivalvia; Pectinida; Pectinidae
Exons: 2
Source: RefSeq, a predicted model, not a curated record
UUUACAUUCAAGUAAGUCAUGUGAUCACUCAAGUCAUGUGAUCUCAAGUCAUGAUCUUAUGAUUGGACCAGUAGGUUUUACACUACAGAAAGUCAUGUGACCUUUGUAGUUGUACCAGUAGGUUUUACACUACAGAAAGUCAUGUGACCUUUGUAGUCGUACCAGUAGGUUUUACACUGCAGUAAGUCAUGUGAUCUCCAGUCAUGUUUAUGCUGUUGCAAUCACUAGUGAUGUAUGUAUAUAUAAUGCAAUGUUUUAAGUGAUCUCAGUUUUAUGUACUUAGACAAUAUGUGUAUAAAUGUGUUAGUUCCAUAUUAUUCAUAUUGGAGUUAUAUUAAUUAGUUGGUAGUUGAAUUUCAUGAGAAAAUGGCUGUUCAUUCUUAAAAUUUCAGACAAAUAUCUGAAUUAAUAUUUAAUCACUUUGUCAGAGCUUGUUACAUGUCUAUUAAUUAAAUGUACCUUUGAGUUUUAUUUUUAUGCUACUAUUUUUAAGUCUGUAACUAAAGCAAAAUCGACUACAAGGCUUCAUACAGUAACUACAUGUAGCUGAUAUACUGGAGCACAAAUCAAGAAAGUUAGUGGCUAUAUGAUAUUUUUAUUAUCUUUGAUUUUAUUUUAAAUGUUUAUCAAUAAUAUAAUAUUUGUACAUUUAAAUGGCAAAUACUUUGAAAAAUGGCAAUUUAUAUAAAAGCAGAUUUUGAAAUAUAUUUGUAUGGCAAGUAAAAAGAUUCAUGUAUAUAACUCAAAAACCGCACAGGGAUGAUUAUGGACCCAGAUCUUUGGAAGAAGCAUUUGCUUCAUAAAGAAGACUUUGUAAUUUUAUAUUUUACAUUGUUUUACUAGAUUGACGUUAUCAUAUGUUUGUAUAAGACAGUGGUAUGCGUGAGUGACAGUUGGAAUAUAUCCUUUGUAGCUGAUAUUUACUACAUUUAGAUUAUUAGAUACCUGUUUUCACUGAGAUAUGGUUUAGGUAUAUCAUCAUUCACUCUGGUAUUUUACCUUUUCAAUGUAUUUAUUAAUAGAUUAAGUAUGUUGGUCGAGACAUUUUCUGUUCAAAGAUAUACUGGUACCUAUAUUUGGAAAAACUAGGGAAAAAAACGGAAGUGUUUGUACAUCGUACUCGUGGAAUUCAAUGUUAAAAAAAUUCAUGUAUCACAUUUAAUUUUUUUUAUUUUAGAAAUGUAUACACUUGUAGAUUUAGGGAUAUCUGUCUUCUUUUCUAUUAAGGCAACAAUAAUUUACUACCUUAAAAUUUCUAAAAUCAUCAGAUGAAAAUCGAGAAUAUUUGGUACUUAGCAAGCAGAUGUACAUGACCAUAAUUUGACAUACAGUAUUCGUGUGUAUCAUAUACAUCACUUCAAUAAAGUAUUAGGUUGCCAAUAGGGGCCUAACUAGAAUACAGUUUUUAGUGUUAGGUAACAAUAGGUAACAAACAUGUCAUUGUUUAGUUAACACAUACAAUUUAUGUCAUUGUUUAAAACUGUCACAAACAUGUCAUUGCUUAGGUAACACAUAUGUCAUUGUUUAAAACUGUCAUUGUUAAAUAUGUUCUGUUGAAGACCUUUAUUGAGAAUUACUAAUUGAAUGAAAGCUUUUGGGAAGAUGAAGCAAUGAUAUUGAAAUGUUGAAUUAUCUGUGAUGAAGAUAUGACACAUAUUCCAUUGAAAAAUUGCAGAAUUUGAACAUUUCAGUAUAUUUUGAAGGAAAGAAUUAAAUCAGCAUUGAAUGAAAACUAUUCAUUCUUUCAGCUCCUUUGAUCUGAAUGAGGUACUCAUUUACACUUUCUUAUACAGAUGUAACUGCUGUAGAUAUGAUUGAUUAUUGACAAUAUUGAUUUUAGUAGUUAACCCAAAUCAUUAGUACAUACAUAUUCAAAGCCAUGUAAGGUCUGGUAUUGAACAGAAUGUUUUAAAAUGUUUAACCCUUUAAAUAAAGAUUUUUUCCCUGAUCAAUAUCAUUUCAUUUUAUAAUAAAUAUGUUGGUGUAUGUUUUUUGCAGAAACAGACUACUUGGAACAUAUCAAUUUCCCAGCUAUUUAGAUAAUCUGUAAAAUAGAUUCACAAGAUUUAAAUAAAACAAUUCUGCUCUUCA